Molecule: ribosomal RNA, 393 nt
Filed under: Boophis picturatus
Lineage: Eukaryota; Metazoa; Chordata; Amphibia; Anura; Mantellidae
Description: partial 16S ribosomal RNA
Rfam family: Bacterial large subunit ribosomal RNA
Source: RNAcentral
GAAACUGAUCUUCCCGUGAAGAAGCGGGAAUAUACCUAUAAGACGAGAAGACCCCAUGGAGCUUUAAAUCCAACAGCACCUAUUACCCAUAUAUCUUUAUAUUUUUUUAGCAAAUGCUCGUUCGGUUUUAGGUUGGGGUGACCAUGGAGUAAAAAAUAACCUCCACGAAAAAAGGCAUAAAACCCUUAUCAAAGAGCCACAUCUCUAUGAAUUAGUAAACUAAUUUCUGAUGAUCCGAUAUUCGAUCAACGAACCAAGUUACCCUGGGGAUAACAGCGCAAUCCGCCUUAAGAGCCCCUAUCGACAGGCGGGUUUACGACCUCGAUGUUGGAUCAGGGUAUCCCAGUGGUGCAACAGCUACUAAAGGUUCGUUUGUUCAACGAUUAAAACCCU